UGUCUGAUGCAUUGUCAAUGAAAUUGAAGUAAAACUGCACCAUGUAUUGAAUGCUCUACUCGAUCACACUGCCAGGAUUUGAUACCAUUCCCUAUCAAUUUGAACCUGAAUCUGAUUUAUAAUUAUCAUGUCUUGGCAUCAAAUUUGAACACAUGGAUACCCUAAAAUACUUGGACUUCCUUACUCAUUUUAACCAUUCUUGUUAGUCCAAGUAGCUGACUCCCCUUAUUGGAGCAGUUAACCCCGACCCUAACUCUUAACUUUUUUUCAAGCCCUUUAUCACUUGUGAGUGUUUGUGAGGUCUUAUUCCGAUUGAGCUUGGUAGAAAGGGCUAGGUUCGUAACGACAAAGAUAGUGUCUUAUGUUGUUCUAGUUCGAGUUAUGCGGAUUAGAUAGGAAUAGGUGGGCGCUUAUAUCGUGGGUUGUAAUGUGUUUAAAAGAAAGAAAAGAGUGAAUUCAUUGUUGAUGAGGAAAGGGAAAAAACAUUCUAGGGGAAGUAAGCUAAAGAAGUUAGAAAAUAGCCUAGUAAAGGUUUUGGGAAUGUUAAAGAAAAGAAUAGGGUUCUUGUUAGCUAUAGAAGAAGGGUAAAAGCC
RNAcentral lists this small RNA (593 nucleotides) under Arabidopsis thaliana (thale cress). RNAcentral describes it as "ATSL265950". The record is from RNAcentral. Lineage: Eukaryota; Viridiplantae; Streptophyta; Magnoliopsida; Brassicales; Brassicaceae.